GAAAAAUUAGUUUUUAAAAUAUGAAUCUGUCAGGUUCAAGUUAUCUUAUGAUAGAUAUUUUUUG
This 64-nucleotide transfer RNA is filed under the name Vagitanus terminalis. Its description in RNAcentral is "tRNA-Asp". Lineage: Eukaryota; Metazoa; Arthropoda; Insecta; Hemiptera; Cicadidae. The record is from RNAcentral.